CAAACGACUCUCGGCAAUGGAUAUCUCGGCUCUCGCAUCGAUGAAGAACUUAGCGAAAUGCGAUACUUGGUGUGAAUUGCAGAAUCCCGUGAACCAUCGAGUCUUUGAACGCAAGUUGCGCCCGAAGCCAUCAGGCCGAGGGCACAUCUGCCUGGGUGUCACGCAUCGC
Molecule: ribosomal RNA, 169 nt
Filed under: Adina fagifolia
Lineage: Eukaryota; Viridiplantae; Streptophyta; Magnoliopsida; Gentianales; Rubiaceae
Description: Adinauclea fagifolia 5.8S ribosomal RNA
Rfam family: 5.8S ribosomal RNA
About the family: 5.8S ribosomal RNA (5.8S rRNA) is a component of the large subunit of the eukaryotic ribosome. It is transcribed by RNA polymerase I as part of the 45S precursor that also contains 18S and 28S rRNA.
Source: RNAcentral